RNAcentral lists this transfer RNA (87 nucleotides) under Aeromonas jandaei. RNAcentral describes it as "tRNA-Leu". It matches the Rfam family "tRNA". Rfam says of the family: Transfer RNA (tRNA) molecules are approximately 80 nucleotides in length. Their secondary structure includes four short double-helical elements and three loops (D, anti-codon, and T loops). Lineage: Bacteria; Pseudomonadati; Pseudomonadota; Gammaproteobacteria; Aeromonadales; Aeromonadaceae. The record is from RNAcentral.
GCCCGAGUGGUGAAAUUGGUAGACACAAGGGAUUUAAAAUCCCUCGACGUUCGCGUCGUGCCGGUUCGAUGCCGGCCUCGGGCACCA